GACGAACGCUGGCGGCGUGCCUAAUACAUGCAAGUCGAGCGGAGUUAUUUUGGAAGCUUGCUUCCGAAAUAACUUAGCGGCGGACGGGUGAGUAAUACGUAGGCAACCUGCCUGUAAGACUGGGAUAACUGCCGGAAACGGUAGCUAAUACCGGAUAAAUCAUUUCGCCGCAUGGCGGGAUGCUGAAAGACGGAGCAAUCUGUCACUUACAGAUGGGCCUACGGCGCAUUAGCUAGUUGGUGGGGUAAAGGCCUACCAAGGCGACGAUGCGUAGCCGGCCUGAGAGGGUGAACGGCCACACUGGGACUGAGACACGGCCCAGACUCCUACGGGAGGCUG
Molecule: ribosomal RNA, 339 nt
Filed under: uncultured Bacillota bacterium
Lineage: Bacteria; Bacillati; Bacillota
Description: bacterial SSU rRNA
Rfam family: Bacterial small subunit ribosomal RNA
Source: RNAcentral